Molecule: ribosomal RNA, 2917 nt
Filed under: Vibrio metoecus
Lineage: Bacteria; Pseudomonadati; Pseudomonadota; Gammaproteobacteria; Vibrionales; Vibrionaceae
Description: bacterial LSU rRNA
Rfam family: Bacterial large subunit ribosomal RNA
Source: RNAcentral
GUUGUAUGGUUAAGUGACUAAGCGUACACGGUGGAUGCCUGGGCAGUCAGAGGCGAUGAAGGACGUACUAACUUGCGAUAAGCGCAGAUAAGGCAGUAAGAGCCGUUUGAGUCUGCGAUUUCCGAAUGGGGAAACCCAACUGCAUAAGCAGUUACUGUUAACUGAAUACAUAGGUUAACAGAGCAAACCGGGGGAACUGAAACAUCUAAGUACCCCGAGGAGAAGAAAUCAACCGAGAUUCCGGUAGUAGCGGCGAGCGAACCUGGAUUAGCCCUUAAGCACUCGGUGAAGUAGGUGAACAAGCUGGAAAGCUUGGCGAUACAGGGUGAUAGCCCCGUAACCGACGCUUCAUCGAGCGUGAAAUCGAGUAGGGCGGGACACGUGAUAUCCUGUCUGAAUAUGGGGGGACCAUCCUCCAAGGCUAAAUACUCCUGACUGACCGAUAGUGAACCAGUACCGUGAGGGAAAGGCGAAAAGAACCCCUGUGAGGGGAGUGAAAUAGAACCUGAAACCGUGUACGUACAAGCAGUAGGAGCACCUUCGUGGUGUGACUGCGUACCUUUUGUAUAAUGGGUCAGCGACUUAUAUUCAGUGGCAAGGUUAACCGUAUAGGGGAGCCGUAGCGAAAGCGAGUCUUAACUGGGCGCUCAGUCUCUGGAUAUAGACCCGAAACCGGGUGAUCUAGCCAUGGGCAGGUUGAAGGUUGAGUAACAUCAACUGGAGGACCGAACCGACUAAUGUUGAAAAAUUAGCGGAUGACUUGUGGCUAGGGGUGAAAGGCCAAUCAAACUCGGAGAUAGCUGGUUCUCCCCGAAAGCUAUUUAGGUAGCGCCUCGGACGAAUACUACUGGGGGUAGAGCACUGUUAAGGCUAGGGGGUCAUCCCGACUUACCAACCCUUUGCAAACUCCGAAUACCAGUAAGUACUAUCCGGGAGACACACGGCGGGUGCUAACGUCCGUCGUGGAGAGGGAAACAACCCAGACCGCCAGCUAAGGUCCCAAAGUAUUGCUAAGUGGGAAACGAUGUGGGAAGGCUCAGACAGCUAGGAUGUUGGCUUAGAAGCAGCCAUCAUUUAAAGAAAGCGUAAUAGCUCACUAGUCGAGUCGGCCUGCGCGGAAGAUGUAACGGGGCUAAGCAAUACACCGAAGCUGCGGCAAUGAAGUUUACUUCAUUGGGUAGGGGAGCGUUCUGUAAGCCGUUGAAGGUGAAUCGUAAGGUUUGCUGGAGGUAUCAGAAGUGCGAAUGCUGACAUGAGUAACGACAAGGGGGGUGAAAAACCUCCCCGCCGGAAGACCAAGGGUUCCUGUCCAACGUUAAUCGGGGCAGGGUGAGUCGACCCCUAAGGCGAGGCCGAAAGGCGUAGUCGAUGGGAAACGGGUUAAUAUUCCCGUACUCAAUCAAAUUGCGAUGGGGGGACGGAGAAGGCUAGGUGGGCCAGGCGACGGUUGUCCUGGUUCAAGUGCGUAGGCUUAAGAGUUAGGUAAAUCCGGCUCUUUCUAAGGCUGAGACACGACGUCGAGCUGCUACGGCAGUGAAGUCAUUGAUGCCAUGCUUCCAGGAAAAGCCUCUAAGCUUCAGAUUUGAUGGAAUCGUACCCCAAACCGACACAGGUGGUCGGGUAGAGAAUACCAAGGCGCUUGAGAGAACUCGGGUGAAGGAACUAGGCAAAAUGGUACCGUAACUUCGGGAGAAGGUACGCUCUUGAUGGUGAAGUCCCUCGCGGAUGGAGCUGACGAGAGUCGCAGAUACCAGGUGGCUGCAACUGUUUAUUAAAAACACAGCACUGUGCAAAAUCGCAAGAUGACGUAUACGGUGUGACGCCUGCCCGGUGCCGGAAGGUUAAUUGAUGGGGUUAGCGUAAGCGAAGCUCUUGAUCGAAGCCCCGGUAAACGGCGGCCGUAACUAUAACGGUCCUAAGGUAGCGAAAUUCCUUGUCGGGUAAGUUCCGACCUGCACGAAUGGCGUAAUGAUGGCCACGCUGUCUCCACCCGAGACUCAGUGAAAUUGAAAUCGCUGUGAAGAUGCAGUGUACCCGCGGCUAGACGGAAAGACCCCGUGAACCUUUACUACAGCUUGGCACUGAACAUUGAACCUACAUGUGUAGGAUAGGUGGGAGGCUAUGAAGACGUGACGCUAGUUGCGUUGGAGCCGUCCUUGAAAUACCACCCUUGUAUGUUUGAUGUUCUAACUUAGACCCGUUAUCCGGGUUGAGGACAGUGCCUGGUGGGUAGUUUGACUGGGGCGGUCUCCUCCCAAAGAGUAACGGAGGAGCACGAAGGUGGGCUAAUCACGGUUGGACAUCGUGAGGUUAGUGCAAUGGCAUAAGCCCGCUUAACUGCGAGAAUGACGGUUCGAGCAGGUGCGAAAGCAGGUCAUAGUGAUCCGGUGGUUCUGUAUGGAAGGGCCAUCGCUCAACGGAUAAAAGGUACUCCGGGGAUAACAGGCUGAUACCGCCCAAGAGUUCAUAUCGACGGCGGUGUUUGGCACCUCGAUGUCGGCUCAUCACAUCCUGGGGCUGAAGUCGGUCCCAAGGGUAUGGCUGUUCGCCAUUUAAAGUGGUACGCGAGCUGGGUUUAGAACGUCGUGAGACAGUUCGGUCCCUAUCUGCCGUGGGCGUUGGAAGAUUGAAGGGGGCUGCUCCUAGUACGAGAGGACCGGAGUGGACGAACCUCUGGUGUUCGGGUUGUGUCGCCAGACGCAUUGCCCGGUAGCUAAGUUCGGAAUCGAUAACCGCUGAAAGCAUCUAAGCGGGAAGCGAGCCCUGAGAUGAGUCUUCCCUGACAGUUUAACUGUCCUAAAGGGUUGUUCGAGACUAGAACGUUGAUAGGCAGGGUGUGUAAGCGUUGUGAGGCGUUGAGCUAACCUGUACUAAUUGCCCGUGAGGCUUAACCAUACAACACCCAAGGGGUUUUGUA